RNAcentral lists this ribosomal RNA (270 nucleotides) under uncultured bacterium. RNAcentral describes it as "partial 16S ribosomal RNA". It matches the Rfam family "Bacterial small subunit ribosomal RNA", at positions 28 to 322 of the family's 1533-position model. The record is from RNAcentral.
GAUGAACGCUGGCGGCGUGCCUAAUACAUGCAAGUCGAGCGGUAACACUUCGGGUGACGAGCGGCGGACGGCUGAGUAACACGUAGGAACGUACCCCAGAGUGAGGGAUAAGCACCGGAAACGGUGUCUAAUACCGCAUAACCUCUUCGGAGAAAAGCUUCGGCGCUUUGGGAACGGCCUGCGCAUGAUUAGCUUGUUGGUGAGGUAAAAGCUCACCAAGGCGACGAUCAUUAGCUGGUCUGAGAGGAUGAUCAGCCAGACUGGGACUGA